Molecule: ribosomal RNA, 268 nt
Filed under: Escherichia coli
Lineage: Bacteria; Pseudomonadati; Pseudomonadota; Gammaproteobacteria; Enterobacterales; Enterobacteriaceae
Description: partial 16S ribosomal RNA
Rfam family: Bacterial small subunit ribosomal RNA
Source: RNAcentral
AAAUUGAAGAGUUUGAUCAUGGCUCAGAUUGAACGCUGGCGGCAGGCCUAACACAUGCAAGUCGAACGGUAACAGGAAACAGCUUGCUGUUUCGCUGACGAGUGGCGGACGGGUGAGUAAUGUCUGGGAAACUGCCUGAUGGAGGGGGAUAACUACUGGAAACGGUAGCUAAUACCGCAUAACGUCGCAAGACCAAAGAGGGGGACCCUCGGGCCUCUUGCCAUCGGAUGUGCCCAGAUGGGAUUAGCUUGUUGGUGGGGUAACGGCU